This 242-nucleotide ribosomal RNA is filed under the name Vibrio sp. UCD-FRSSP16_10. RNAcentral's name for it is "partial 23S ribosomal RNA". It matches the Rfam family "Bacterial large subunit ribosomal RNA", at positions 1 to 238 of the family's 2925-position model. Lineage: Bacteria; Pseudomonadati; Pseudomonadota; Gammaproteobacteria; Vibrionales; Vibrionaceae. The record is from RNAcentral.
GUUGUAUGGUUAAGUGACUAAGCGUACACGGUGGAUGCCUUGGCAGUCAGAGGCGAUGAAAGACGUAAUAACUUGCGAUAAGCCCAGAUUAGGUAGUAAUAACCAUUUGAGUCUGGGAUUUCUGAAUGGGGAAACCCACGUGCAUAAGCACGUAUCGUUAUGUGAAUACAUAGCAUAACGAGGCAAACCCGGGGAACUGAAACAUCUAAGUACCCGGAGGAAGAGAAAUCAACCGAGAUUCC